This 311-nucleotide small nuclear RNA is filed under the name Neotoma lepida (desert woodrat). RNAcentral describes it as "7SK RNA". It matches the Rfam family "7SK RNA". From Rfam's summary of the family: 7SK was discovered as an abundant small nuclear RNA in the mid-70s but a possible function has only recently been suggested. Two independent studies have found that 7SK RNA binds the CDK9/cyclin T complex (known as elongation factor P-TEFb). The record is from Rfam by way of RNAcentral. Lineage: Eukaryota; Metazoa; Chordata; Mammalia; Rodentia; Cricetidae.
GCAUGUAAGGGUGAUCUGCUUGCAACAUCUGUCAUCCACAUUGUCUGGCUACAACAUCUGUCACCCCAGGGAAGCUCCAGUUGAUUGGCCAGUCUGCUCCCGUCCUCCCUCACAACACUGCAUCAUUCCUUCCAAAGGCAAGCCCUCAUGAUCUUGUCUGGUGGAGGAGGACUGUCCUUAAGUCAGGGUGUAUGAGUAAUUGCACUCCCCUACUACAGCCUCCAAAUAAAUUCCCACCAUUAGUGUUUGCCUUUGGGGUAAGGGAUGGGCAAGAGAUUAGGAGGAGUUCCACAGGGAAGUUGCUCCUCACU